This 439-nucleotide ribosomal RNA is filed under the name uncultured bacterium. RNAcentral's name for it is "partial 16S ribosomal RNA". It matches the Rfam family "Bacterial small subunit ribosomal RNA", at positions 339 to 795 of the family's 1533-position model. The record is from RNAcentral.
CUACGGGGGGCUCCAGUGGGGGAUAUUGCACAAUGGGCGAAAGCCUGAUGCAGCAACGCCGCGUGAAGGAAGACGGUUUUCGGAUUGUAAACUUCUAUCAGCAGGGAAGAAAAUGACUGUACCUGACUAAGAAGCCCCGGCUAACUACGUGCCAGCAGCCGCGGUAAUACGUAGGGGGCAAGCGUUAUCCGGAAUUACUGGGUGUAAAGGGUACGUAGGCGGCUGAUCAAGUCAGAUGUGAAAGCCCGGAGCUCAACUCCGGGACUGCAUUUGAAACUGGUCGGCUAGAGUGCAGGAGAGGAAAGUGGAAUUCCUAGUGUAGCGGUGAAAUGCGUAGAUAUUAGGAAGAACACCAGUGGCGAAGGCGGCUUUCUGGACUGUAACUGACGCUGAGGUACGAAAGCGUGGGGAGCGAACAGGAUUAGAUACCCUGGUAGUC